AUUGAACGCUGGCGGCAUGCUUUACACAUGCAAGUCGAACGGUAACAGGGAGCUUGCUCCGCUGACGAGUGGCGAACGGGUGAGUAAUGCAUCGGAACGUACCCAGUCGUGGGGGAUAACGUAGCGAAAGUUACGCUAAUACCGCAUACGUCCUGAGGGAGAAAGCGGGGGACCGUAAGGCCUCGCGCGAUUGGAGCGGCCGAUGUCGGAUUAGCUAGUUGGUAGGGUAAAGGCCUACCAAGGCGACGAUCCGUAGCGGGUCUGAGAGGAUGAUCCGCCACACUGGGACUGAGACACGGCCCAGACUCCUACGGGAGGCAGCAGUGGGGAAUUUUGGACAAUGGGCGAAAGCCUGAUCUAGCCAUGCCGCGUGAGUGAAGAAGGCCUUCGGGUUGUAAAGGCUCUUUCUAGACGGAAAGAAAUACGCAUCUUCUAAUACAGGUGUGGAUGACGGUACCGUAAGAAGAAGC
Molecule: ribosomal RNA, 470 nt
Filed under: uncultured bacterium
Lineage: Bacteria
Description: bacterial SSU rRNA
Rfam family: Bacterial small subunit ribosomal RNA
Source: RNAcentral